Long non-coding RNA from Vicia villosa (hairy vetch), 721 nucleotides. RefSeq lists it as uncharacterized. The transcript is spliced from 3 exons. Lineage: Eukaryota; Viridiplantae; Streptophyta; Magnoliopsida; Fabales; Fabaceae. The record is from RefSeq and is a predicted model, not a curated record.
UUUGUUAAAGUUUGGUUUGCUCUUUUGUCUUAAAGUUUGGUUUGCUCAUUUGUCUUAAAGUUUGGUUUGCCCUUUUGUCUUAAAGUUUGGUUUGCUCGUGUCAAACGAGGUUUCAAAGUGUAUUUUGUAUUUUGUAUUUUGUGGUACUUACGAUGAUUUCUCUUGUGCAAAACCAUAGAGCCUGAUGUCUCAUAAUGAGAAAUGUGAUUUUGGAGAAUUUUUGGUUUAUUUUGAAGAAAAUGUAUUGAAGAAUAAAAAAUUUACAAUCUCAAUAUGGGUAAUGGGUUCAAUGUCACCGAAAUUUCAUCUAUCUUAUUGAUGAAUUGUGUUUUUUAAAUCUAAAUAUUAAAAUCCUAUGGUUGGAGGAAUUUUAUUUUUGAUAGAAUUUACUUGGUGAAAAGGACAUGCAUCAAAGUGAAUAGAGGAUCAGUUGCUGUGAGUAUCGAUGGAGUGUGUUAAUUUUCUUAUACCCAAAUACAGCUGUAUCAGUUCUACCUCAAUUGCGAGUCAUGCAGAACACAAAGAUUGUUGAACCAUUCACAGCACACUAUGUUUUUGCCCUUGGAAUUGCAAGGUUCUUGAGUUGUGCACAUUGGGUCCUCCAGGUUUGUUGGGAUUUUGACUUCUAAGAUGUUUUUAUCAUCCAAUUCUGAAAAUAUUUAAAACUAUUUUAUCAUAAUAUCCUCUAAUUGAGUAUCAUCAAUAAUUUUCAUAUUUAUAC